This 428-nucleotide ribosomal RNA is filed under the name uncultured bacterium. RNAcentral's name for it is "partial 16S ribosomal RNA". It matches the Rfam family "Bacterial small subunit ribosomal RNA", at positions 354 to 796 of the family's 1533-position model. The record is from RNAcentral.
GUGGGGAAUAUUGGGCAAUGGGGGAAACCCUGACCCAGCAACGCCGCGUGAGGGAAGAAGGUUUUCAGAUUGUAAACCUCUGUCCUUGGUGACGAAGGAAGUGACGGUAACCAAGGAGGAAGCCCCGGCUAACUACGUGCCAGCAGCCGCGGUAAUAUGUAGGGGGCAAGCGUUGUCCGGAAUGACUGGGCGUAAAGGGCGUGUAGGCGGCCGAUUAAGUCUGGAGUGAAAGUCCUGCUUUCAAGGUGGGAAUGGCUUUGGAGACUGGUUGGCUUGAGUGCGGAAGAGGUAAGUGGAAUUCCCAGUGUAGCGGUGAAAUGCGUAGAGAUUGGGAGGAACACCAGUGGCGAAGGCGACUUACUGGGCCGUAACUGACGCUGAGGCGCGAAAGCGUGGGGAGCGAACAGGAUUAGAUACCCCUGUAGUCC